RNAcentral lists this long non-coding RNA (1842 nucleotides) under Sus scrofa (pig). RNAcentral's name for it is "lncRNA (ENSSSCG00000050897.2)". The record is from RNAcentral. Lineage: Eukaryota; Metazoa; Chordata; Mammalia; Artiodactyla; Suidae.
AUGUCUAACCAAGGAUUUUCUUAGUGAAGUAGUAAAACUGAACUCUGUGGAAUUUUGAGAAAUAAUUCGCGGCCAGCCACUGACACGUAUAGAGGAGCUUUGUGCAAGCACCAAUUAUCAAAAGGCUGUGCUUUCAUCCACACCAUUAAUUUCUGAAGGCAGAAGAGAGCAUGAUGAUGAAAGUGUCUUACAAGAUUAACAUCUCCAGUAUCACAGCUUUAAAGAAGUAGGACUGGAAUCUGAAACCAUAACUGCCUGAUCCAAAACUUAUAAAUAUUCAUAUAGAGCUGACUACUGGUGAGGCUAAAGCAUCUGAGGAGACAAAGGGAGGGCUUAUAGAAGGAGACCUUCGGAAUUCCUGCCAUGGCACAGUGGGUUAAGAAUCCAACCACAGUGGCUUGGUUACUUUUAAUCCUAGCCCAGCACAGUGGGUUAAGGUAUCUGGCAUUGCUGCAGCUGUAGCAGUAGGCUACAGCUGUGGCUAGAAUACAAUCCCUGGCCCGGGUACUUCCAUAUGCCUCAGAGCCCAGAGCCCCUGUGUUUGGAGUUGGCUGGACUGUGGAGACUUUGGAAAGGUCCUGCUGCCAGGAGUUAAGCACGAAAUCUUGGAACUGAAUUUUACAGAAUUACUUCUGAACCAGUAUGGAACAUUUUACGAACCUACACAAAGCUUCUGAUUCCUGGAACGGCCUCGCUGUGGUGAUUUUCCUGCAUGGAUCUGGAGAUACAGAGCUUGGAUGGGCAAGAAGCCUUUGCAGGACAAUACCUGUGGCAUAUGGAAGUUCCCAGGCUAGGGGUCGACUUGGAGCUGUAGCUGCUGGCCUGCAUCACAGCCACAGCAACACCAGAUCCGAACCGCGUCUAUGAACUAUACCACAGCUCAUGGCAACGCCGGAUCCUUUAACUCAUUGAGUGAGGCCAGGGAUCAAACCUUCGUCCUCAUGGAUUCUAGCCAGAUUUGUUUCCACUGAGCCACGACUAGAACUCCCACAGUAAUGUGUUUUUGUGUGAAGAAACACAAAAGCAUUUGCUUCAUGUCACAACCCACCCUAUAGCUAUAUCUUCUUUUCUACUGGAUGAUCUUUUUCCCAUGAAAGUUACAUUUGAAAUGUUACAUGUGUUAUUAGAUAGCUUCUAAAUUUUCUCUACUUGAAAACUCAGUGACAUUACAUAGGAAGGCUACAAUCAUAUUUAAAUAUGAUUAGAGUUCAUUGUACAUUAAACCUGGGCAAGAAAAAUCUGAUUUUGACUUAAUAUUCUUACUGUGUAACAGAAAGUACAGAUUCUAGUCCCUUAGUGAAUCACCCCCAUUCUUUAUCAAUUGUGUUGUAGACCUAAUGAAUGACUGUAGUUUCUCUUGAGGAAAAUUAUAGCAAAAGUGUUUUUUGAGUUUUUUUACAUGUUUUCUGUUUUUGUUUUUUGGGUUUUUUUUUUUGCAAUAAAACCUAAACUUACACACUUUUGAAAAGGAUUGAAAAAUUUAGUGUUCUAGCUAACAUUUACAGGGAAAGAUAAGUUUAUUCCAGUCCCCUUGGAACUGAAUAUGAAUAUAUAGUACCGCACCCCCAGCUAGGCCAGAUCCUAUCUUUCAAGAGGAUUGGAGAUCUUUUCAUGAGAAAAAGAAACACAUGGAAGAGAGAUGUGAAUUUUACCUGCACUGGCAAAAUCUUAUAAUCCUUCUGGAAUGAUGCUGAGGGGGAAAGGCCACACACUCUUUUGGGACUACUCCCUAUAUUUACAUCAGCUUUUCUUUCUCCUAGUAUUAUAAGACAGCAAUAGGAAUAGAUCAAUAAUAUGUCUAAAUCGAUGUAAUAAGAGCUGUAUUAAAUAAAGUUCUGUUGU